GUGCGUGUGUGUAAAGAAGGAGAUUAGGACAUUUAGAGAAGGAGGGCGGGGAGGAGAGAUCCUGAGAAUAGAAAGGAGGAAAGAAAAAAAGAGGAAUGGAAAGAGACAGAGAAAGGAAAUGGGAGUGGAAGGAGGGAGGACUGCUUUGUAACUGCUAAGAUUGCAGACAGAAAUAGCACACAACCACUGUGAGCUGUAUGCGAUUCAGAAACCAAGACCAAAUUUUGCUCACUUUCAUUAAUCAGUUGCUCAGAUAGAAGGAAAUGACAUCUGGUUCUGUCUUCUUCUACAUCUUAAUUUUUGGAAAAUAUUUUUCUCAUGGGGGUGGACAGGAUGUCAAGUGCUCCCUUGGCUAUUUCCCCUGUGGGAACAUCACAAAGUGCUUGCCUCAGCUCCUGCACUGUAACGGUGUGGACGACUGCGGGAAUCAGGCCGAUGAGGACAACUGUGGUGAGUGAAGCCCCUGCAGUCACGGAGACAACAAUGGAUGGUCUCUGCAAUUUGACAAAUAUUUUGCCAGUUACUACAAAAUGACUUCCCAAUAUCCUUUUGAGGCAGAAACACCUGAAUGUUUGGUCGGUUCUGUGCCAGUGCAAUGUCUUUGCCAAGGUCUGGAGCUUGACUGUGAUGAAACCAAUUUACGAGCUGUUCCAUCGGUUUCUUCAAAUGUGACUGCAAUGUCACUUCAGUGGAACUUAAUAAGAAAGCUUCCUCCUGAUUGCUUCAAGAAUUAUCAUGAUCUUCAGAAGCUGUACCUGCAAAACAAUAAGAUUACAUCCAUCUCCAUCUAUGCUUUCAGAGGACUGAAUAGCCUUACUAAACUGUAUCUCAGUCAUAACAGAAUAACCUUCCUGAAGCCGGGUGUUUUUGAAGAUCUUCACAGACUAGAAUGGCUGAUAAUUGAAGAUAAUCACCUCAGUCGAAUUUCCCCACCAACAUUUUAUGGACUAAAUUCUCUUAUUCUCUUAGUCCUGAUGAAUAACGUCCUCACCCGUUUACCUGAUAAACCUCUCUGUCAACACAUGCCAAGACUACAUUGGCUGGACCUUGAAGGCAACCAUAUCCAUAAUUUAAGAAAUUUGACUUUUAUUUCCUGCAGUAAUUUAACUGUUUUAGUGAUGAGGAAAAACAAAAUUAAUCACUUAAAUGAAAAUACUUUUGCACCUCUCCAGAAACUGGAUGAAUUGGAUUUAGGAAGUAAUAAGAUUGAAAAUCUUCCACCGCUUAUAUUCAAGGACCUGAAGGAGCUGUCACAAUUGAAUCUUUCCUAUAAUCCAAUCCAGAAAAUUCAAGCAAACCAAUUUGAUUAUCUUGUCAAACUCAAGUCUCUCAGCCUAGAAGGGAUUGAAAUUUCAAAUAUCCAACAAAGGAUGUUUAGACCUCUUAUGAAUCUCUCUCACAUAUAUUUUAAGAAAUUCCAGUACUGUGGGUAUGCACCACAUGUUCGCAGCUGUAAACCAAACACUGAUGGAAUUUCAUCUCUAGAGAAUCUCUUGGCAAGCAUUAUUCAGAGAGUAUUUGUCUGGGUUGUAUCUGCAGUUACCUGCUUUGGAAACAUUUUUGUCAUUUGCAUGCGACCUUAUAUCAGGUCUGAGAACAAGCUGUAUGCCAUGUCAAUCAUUUCUCUCUGCUGUGCCGACUGCUUAAUGGGAAUAUAUUUAUUCGUGAUCGGAGGCUUUGACCUAAAGUUUCGUGGAGAAUACAAUAAGCAUGCGCAGCUGUGGAUGGAGAGUACUCAUUGUCAGCUUGUAGGAUCUUUGGCCAUUCUGUCCACAGAAGUAUCAGUUUUACUGUUAACAUUUCUGACAUUGGAAAAAUACAUCUGCAUUGUCUAUCCUUUUAGAUGUGUGAGACCUGGAAAAUGCAGAACAAUUACAGUUCUGAUUCUCAUUUGGAUUACUGGUUUUAUAGUGGCUUUCAUUCCAUUGAGCAAUAAGGAAUUUUUCAAAAACUACUAUGGCACCAAUGGAGUAUGCUUCCCUCUUCAUUCAGAAGAUACAGAAAGUAUUGGAGCCCAGAUUUAUUCAGUGGCAAUUUUUCUUGGUAUUAAUUUGGCCGCAUUUAUCAUCAUAGUUUUUUCCUAUGGAAGCAUGUUUUAUAGUGUUCAUCAAAGUGCCAUAACAGCAACUGAAAUACGGAAUCAAGUUAAAAAAGAGAUGAUCCUUGCCAAACGUUUUUUCUUUAUAGUAUUUACUGAUGCAUUAUGCUGGAUACCCAUUUUUGUAGUGAAAUUUCUUUCACUGCUUCAGGUAGAAAUACCAGGUACCAUAACCUCUUGGGUAGUGAUUUUUAUUCUGCCCAUUAACAGUGCUUUGAACCCAAUUCUCUAUACUCUGACCACAAGACCAUUUAAAGAAAUGAUUCAUCGGUUUUGGUAUAACUACAGACAAAGAAAAUCUAUGGACAGCAAAGGUCAGAAAACAUAUGCUCCAUCAUUCAUCUGGGUGGAAAUGUGGCCACUGCAGGAGAUGCCACCUGAGUUAAUGAAGCCGGACCUUUUCACAUACCCCUGUGAAAUGUCACUGAUUUCUCAAUCAACGAGACUCAAUUCCUAUUCAUGACUGACUCUGAAAUUCAUUUCUUCGCAGAGAAUACUGUGGGGGUGCUUCAUGAGGGAUUUACUGGUAUGAAAUGAAUACCACAAAAUUAAUUUAUAAUAAUAGCUAAGAUAAAUAUUUUACAAGGACAUGAGGAAAAAUAAAAAUGACUAAUGCUCUUACAAAGGGAAGUAAUUAUAUCAAUAAUGUAUAUAUAUUAGUAGACAUUUUGCAUAAGAAAUUAAGAGAAAUCUACUUCAGUAACAUUCAUUCAUUUUUCUAACAUGCAUUUAUUGAGUACCCACUACUAUGUGCAUAGCAUUGCAAUAUAGUCCUGGAAGUAGACAGUGCAGAACCUUUCAAUCUGUAGAUGGUGUUUAAUGACAAAAGACUAUACAAAGUCCAUCUGCAGUUCCUAGUUUAAAGUAGAGCUUUACCUGUCAUGUGCAUCAGCAAGAAUCAUAGGCACUUUUAAAUAAAGGUUUAAAGUUUUGGAAUACUCAGUGUAUUUGCAUCAUAGAAAAUGUCUGACUGUUUGCAAAAUAAUAUUCUGUUUUAAGAAUCCAUCUUACCUCUCUUUAAGUUUCCAUACACUUGAGAGCCAACACAACAUAUUUAUUACUAAAAAGAUGCUUUGCUAGAAACUCAAAAACAGCACUUCUUUUGGCACUUCCUGCCCAGUUUUCUCUUUGCUUUAAAUGAACAUCAUCAUAUGGAAUUGGAAUAGGAGAGUAUGAGUACGGCAGAGAAGUGGAUCAGAAAAACUAGAAUGAGGAUAAACAUUUACAUUAGUGGAAACUCCUGAAAUAAAUCCUUGUAUUGUCAGUUAACUGAUUUUCAACAAGGAUGCCAAGACAAAAAGGCUUUUCAACAAACCGUGCUGUUUUAAGAACAGACCUAAGUGGUUUAAUUCACCCACUUUAGAUGGGUGAAUGUUAUGGUGUGUGAAAUAUCUCAGUAAAGCAGUUAAAAGGAAAAAGAGCUGGAAUGCACUGAUUCAGGAACUUAAUUUCAGGAAGGAAAGGUCUGUAUGUACACAUUUCACUUUAAGCAGAAAAUCUUUCUUCAAGAAAUGACUUUACUUUCUCUUUGCACUGCCAGCACGUGAGAUACUAACUUUUUAACUAGUUGUUCUUCUCUAGUCUCUACGUUAUUAGAAUUUUUUGCUUUCAUAAUGUGAAACCUUUAAGCAGGAGAAGAAAAUGUUUUCAGAUAGUUUCAAAUACACCAAAAAUGUUUGAAACACAAAAAUACUGGAAUCAAACCAUAAUGCACUUAUUGAAUAUAUAGUUGUAUAGAUUUGUUCUGAAAAUAAAUUAUCUGAAAUUUAACUAUUAA
This 3875-nucleotide long non-coding RNA is filed under the name Homo sapiens (human). RNAcentral's name for it is "long non-coding RNA NONHSAT099000.2". Lineage: Eukaryota; Metazoa; Chordata; Mammalia; Primates; Hominidae. The record is from RNAcentral.